Durio zibethinus is the source of this 440-nucleotide long non-coding RNA. RefSeq lists it as uncharacterized. The record is from RefSeq and is a predicted model, not a curated record. NCBI's taxonomy places the organism in Eukaryota, Viridiplantae, Streptophyta, Magnoliopsida, Malvales, Malvaceae.
AAAUAAAUAAAUAAAUAGCCUUGGCUCGGCUGUAGACUCAAAGAACCAACUGGAGGUAUGCAGCUCGAAUUCGACUUAGCGGCUCAAUCAGCUCUGCACUGGAGUGGGUCGUCGGGUCAAGCGAAAUAGAUCGAGCUUGCGAAAUGAAAAACACGUGGGUCCUGGUCUAUUUUAAACCUGAAACGGCGUCGUUUUCAUGCAAUAUAAAAUCCCAAUUUUCAGUUUUGUCCUCGGACUUCACCUGCUUUCUCUCUCUUCUCUUUUCCUUUCCUCUGUCUCUCUCUAGGACAUGAAGAAUAUGGGCUGAGCUUCCAUCAGUUUCUAAAAUUUCACCAUCGGAAACUAGGGAGGCAGCAAAGCAUUGGUCAGUUAUUUGCAGCUGAGGAGAUCAGUUGUCUAUAAACUUUGAAGGUGAUCAUAAUGUACACAAAAAAAAAAAA